Long non-coding RNA from Homo sapiens (human), 1360 nucleotides. RefSeq annotates it as TBC1D26 antisense RNA 1. The record is from RefSeq and is a predicted model, not a curated record. Lineage: Eukaryota; Metazoa; Chordata; Mammalia; Primates; Hominidae. The transcript has 5 exons.
UCUCCUGACCUCGUAAUCCACCCACCUGGCCUCCCAAAGUGCUAGGAUUACAGGUGUGAGCCACGGCGCCCUGAGGACUGGCAGACCCAUCUGACUUUCUUGGAGUAGAGGAGGAAGAGGAGGAAGAAGAGGUGCAGGAGGAAGACCAGUGUUGAUUGAGCCAGCGGGAAGCAGAAUCUCUGGAGGGCCAUGCAGAGCCUUGGGGACUGACCAAGUUCCCCCACUGAGGGGUCCCAGGCUGGACCGACAGGAGAGCCUGGGAGGAGUUCUGACCCUGGAGAGGAGGUUGGCCCAGCCAGGGAGACAUGUCCUGCUUCAGAGAGGCCUUUCUAAAAACAAAACCCAUCCCUGAGGAAGCAAGACAUCUGGUGACUGCUCCGUUCUACCCCAAUUCUCACUCACUCUGGCCAGUGAAGCCGCUUCAGGAACAACGCCAGCCAAGCAGUUUGGUUUGGGGAAAAGAUGAUCUAUUGACUCCAGAGCAGCCUCUGUGCUCAUGGAGACCCCGUCGCAGGUCGAGGACGGUGGACACCACAAUUCCCAGCUGUCAAUACAGGAGGGGACUUUGUUUUCCUGGGUCACCAAGAAAGAACAAGAGAACGCUGGGGCCUUAGUCCUAGAGAACACCUGGGGGAACCGUCCCCCCCCAGGAAUACUCGGGGCAAACGGAAGGCAAGGCCUCUAGAGGACCAGACAGAGAGAAUGGGACGCUGCAGGAGGGUUCCAGUCCCCAAGGCUCUUUGACCAGGAGAGACGAUUGUCACCCUCCAGGCAGCCCUCCAGGGCUCCUUCAUUUUCCACAACUGCCUGAGGGCAGAGGGCUCCCCACCGCACUCCUAGAUGAAGGACCCCAUGUGUCCAGUGGGUCCCACAGCAACCAUCAGUGAUCGCACUUUAGGUCUGAGUUGGUGAGACCUCCUCCUGUGGGGACCAAGCUUAGGGCACAGACUUGGACCAAGAAUUUCACCCUCCACCCCACCCACAGGGGCUCUGUCCCAGUGGCUCUUCCAGGACCAGACCCUGCCUCAUUGAAUUCCAGAACUCAAGGAAGAUUUGGAAUCUAGGGUAGAGAGGCCUCAGCGGUCAAAGCUCAAGUCCAGCAUGGCAAAGGGUAGGGCUGAGUGCACGGCCCGGGUCACAUCUGGGUCUCUGGGCCAGUCACCGCCUCUCUGACUCUACACAUCUCACCUGUGGAAUGGCUACAUUUGGGGACAGCACCCAUCGCCACAGAGUUUCUGUGAGGACAAAGGAGAGGAUGGUCCACGCCGUCAGUGCAGAACAUGCACCCGCUACCCUUGCCCCACCAGGAAUCCCCUUCUGGCAGAGUCAAUGAGGAGAGGAAGAUGGUCACAGAAUCCAU